This is a non-coding RNA of Cyanistes caeruleus (blue tit), 5513 nucleotides long. The record is from RefSeq and is a predicted model, not a curated record. Lineage: Eukaryota; Metazoa; Chordata; Aves; Passeriformes; Paridae.
CUCAUGACUCUCCAGGGUCACGGUAACAACGGCUCUUGUUGGCUGUUGACCGUUUAGAGCUUCCAGGAGCCCUUCCAGUGGCUGCAGGGGCCUGUAAGAAGCUGCAUCCCGAGUUACCUGCGCUGAAUGCAUUCUUGAACACCUGCCUCACCAGCAUCUGCUGGGAAAGUAAUGCAGCUGGCUGCAAGCAACCAAGGGCACUCCUGCAGCGUGCAGAGGGACAACUUCCUGAUCCAGGUUUUAGGGACUAAACGCUCUUGAUGAAAAUGUGUCUCAAAGAGCUGGUUUUGACCUUGGUUCCUAGGGAGGGACAGUGGCUUUGUAACCCCCAGGGAUUGGAGCUCUGGAAUAUAUUUUGUCUUUCUGCCUAGGGAGAGAGAGUGUCUCAAUACUCUUCAAGACUCCUCAAGACUCUUCAAAUCCCUGGCUGUUAUUUACUUCACAGUACUUUUGCAGGUCAUUAAAACUCUGGUAUCUUCCUCCCACUCUCCAAGCACCCCCUUAUGUUGUUGCUCUUCGAUGACUGCCACCUGUGUGACCAGCCUUCCCAGCUAAGGAGCCACUAACACUGCAAAUAUCACUAUAUUGCCAUUAAUAGAACACACAGUAAGGUGCCCAAACAGCUGAAAUUACUUCUUCCAAACUGUAAUCUAUGGUAUUUAUCCACUAUGAACUUGAAACAGCACUUGCUGUUGUGCUGCUUGUUCACUGCUCCCAAGAAAGACCAUCCCAGUUAAACUUUUUUUCCCUAUAACAUCUUGUCAGAAAAUUAUUUUUCUUUAUUUCUUUUUUAUCUUCCACCAUUCCACUGCUCCUUUCUUCCUCUCUCUUAAUAUUCAUGAGUAAUGAAUUAAUAUUGAGAUCAUUGCCUCAAGGAAAGGUCAGGUCUGUGGUGAAUGGACAGUAUAAGAGUGCAGAAAUCUGAUGCCUGUCACUGGUUUGUCACAAGGAACUACAGGAAGUCAGCACAAGUCACCUGAAUUCCUCCAUAAAAUGAGGGAAAAGUGUUCCAUACCCUGACCCCAAAGGUUUUCUGGGAAUCCCCCCAAAGAAAGUUUCAUUUUUAGAACACGAAUUUUUUGGAAAAGCAAUUUUUCAUAAGUAAAAUCCCAAAAGAUGGCCAUGGAUAGAGAUCAGGAUGAUUAGAACUAUCAGGAUCAAAACAUCUAUACUUGUGGGUUAUUUUGCCAAAGAGUUUUGAUGUUCUUGUCCUGAGCUUUCAUGGGUAUCUCCCACUGUGGUGCUGAUGGAGGACAAGAUGGAAUUCCUCACAAGCACAGUGGGAUAAGGGCAGCUUCCCAGAACUGAGUGACAUUUGGUUUGUGUGGGGCCUUGUAAAAGGAAGUGCUUCAAACAGUAAAAUGGAUAUAUACAGAAUAAAGAAUGGGAGUUUGGUGACUAUUAAGAUUUUAAGGUGCUGAUACUGGAGCUCUGAAGUGGCUUGUAAAACAAGGUGAUUUCAAAGGGCCUGAAAUCCAGAGAAACAUAUCAAAAAAGGUUUUGCUUUGAAGGAGAUUGGGACAGUUAUUCACACAGGAGCAAGCAAACCUCCUGCCUGUUCGAGUGCACUUUGGAUUCUGGAGGAAUUGCUCUGACUUCACUCUGGCAAUCCAGCUGUCAGUUUGUUUAAGUAAACAUGUGUUCAGCACAAACAAUAAUGUUUUCUUCCAAAGGUUGCUGAACAUCUUCACAAAGUGGAUUAAUUAUGCAGUCAGCAGUUUCCCCUGAUUGUUGACAAAACUCCAAAGCUGGGAGAACAAUCAGCAGUUAAAGCACUGCAGCAUGUUUGUGUGUGAAAUUUGUGAAAUCAGGGAGUAUAGAAACAAAGUCUUCAAAAAAUCAGGAUUGUUUUGACUUUUGUUGAUGAAUGAUGAUGCUCAGAAGGAUUUGCAUUGCACCCCAGGAGCAGCUCUGAUGUUCUCUGAGAGUCAUCUCAUUACACCCAUAACAGCCAACGUCACUGAUUUCCUUUCUUCAAAAUUAAGGAUUGAGAAAUGUGAACGAGACUAGCUGGAAUACUGUCUGAAAUAUGACAAAAACCAAUGAAAAAUCUAUUGUUCUGUACUUACUUUUUAAAAAAGCUUGAAUACUUAUAAAACACUCUGGCCAGCUGUUGUUGUCAGACAUAAAGUGGUUAUCACAGUUAUCACUGUUGUUAUGAUGGAAAUGAUAACGAGCUCCCUGACGUCAACACAAGGCUCAAAAUAAUGUCCUCUGAAGCAUACAAAAAGCCUUGAAUAAAUAUUUCUCUCUUUAAAAAUGCCAUUGUAUGUGGAUAGAUUUAAAAAAUUAAAUAUAUUGUAAACUGAUCUGUAACUCAGCCAUGCAAAAUGUUGGAUCAAUUUUGAAAAUGUUUAGAGAUUUUAAUUCAUAGAAAUAUUAACAGAGGUUUUUUGGUGCAACUAUCAGAAUUUUCUUGCUUCCACUGUACCACUUCCAAGUAUUUGAGAAAUUAUGUCAUGGUAGAAUUGCAGGAUGGAGUGAAGUCACAGCUAGCAAGGCCUAAGUAAGCAAUUGGCCAUCUUUAGAUACCAUAGGAUUUCACAUAAAUGUAAGAAUCACAGGAAAAUUUAGGUUGGAAGGGACAUCAGACCAAUCUACUACUCAAAGCAAGAUGUUUUUAACCUAACUUGUAAGAGUUAUCUUAGUUACACUGUUGAAGAGCUACAGGAACACAAAUAGAAGAAGUAUUGUACCUUUUCUCACCUCAGAGAACACUUGAAACGUAUAAACAACACCCAUAACCAUCCACUUUGACAAAAUCCAUGUGCUGCUGUUACUAGAAACACUUACAGAAAUAAUUAUUUUCCCACAGAUGUUCAUUUGAAAUGUGUAAUUAGCAUUUCUAUAUAAGCAAUCUAUUCACAAUUACGCCCUAAAAUCUUUUGCUAAAAUGAUUAUUCUUUCACUUGGAUGUAGAAAUAUAUUCAGUCAAUCUAUCUGAUAACUCACAAUCUAAAAUAUCAAGUCUUGGAAAGAAAAAAGGUACAGCCUGUGUCAGAUGUGCAAACUUGGAAGCCCUUGCAUCAAAUCUACUCACCCUGCCACCAGUACAUGAAAGAAGCUUUUAUUUAGUGAAGUUUUAUCAAGUGAAGCCUGAGGAUGUAUCUCAUAUCCAUUUUUACUUCUCUAUAUGUAUUACUUGCAGUAAUUCACCUUGGUUGAAAUGAGGUUGAAUCAAAAUUUUGGUUGGUGUUUCUUUGAUGAACAUCUUACAGAUUUCCCCCUCUAAAUAUACUCAGCCUUAAAAAGGCAUCACUCAUGUCAAGCAAACUGAAGACCACUACUGCAUAAGUAAUGGCAAUUACAAAGCACUGGGGGGAAAACAAUUCCUCUUCCAGUACAUUUCAGUAUCUUGUAUAAAGAACCCUCACACUUCUAGAAACCUCCAGUAAAUGAGAAGCACCGAGCUUUUUGGCCUAGAAACCUGGAAAUGACAAUUGAGGUUUUUUUUGGUUGGGAUUUGAGCAGUCUUUUGUAGAACAACAUGAACACAUCAUUCAAUCCCUUCAUUACUCAUUGGAACCAUGCUUGCAUUUUUCACUGGAAAUACAGGCACUUCAGGAUACAAUAUUUUAUUUGCUUAGAGGGGAAAGACACCCCAACCAAACACUCUUACCUUCUUUCCAAAGGCUAUGCCAAUAAUCUUGCUUGCAAAGUCUCUUGUUUCAGUUCUUCCCACAACAGUUUCUUGACUGACUGCUUGGCACUGGGUGUUUGCUCUGGACCUGCCCACAGCUGUGUAGCUCUUUGCAGUUUUCCUGCUCUAGCUCCACAUGUACACAGUAGGAACUCCUCCAUGCUGAUUUUAAAAUAACAGGUGGCCUUUUCCAGUGUUUUUUUUUUUUCUGUACAGACACAAGAGAAAUAUCGAACUGGUGAUCUGUACUGCUGUCUCUCAGACAGUGGAGGUGGUAGUGAGAAAAACAAUGCCAAAAAUUAAUGCUUACUGUGGAAAAAAGCACAUCAAAUUGACUUGUAAUGGUCUGCUGUAGCAUUAUUUCUAAUUGGCAUCUCACUAUGUAAUUAGAUGAUUGUGCAACACACUUGAGCAAUAAUGCAAAACUAGAUCAUUUAUGGGAGAAAAAACGCUAGACUGGGUAAUCAGCAGUGUGCAAUACAUGUGGCCUGCACUGAAGUUUGCCACAUCUCAUUCAUCUUUUUAAAAAUUCCUGAAAUGUGCACACCAUUACUUCCCUAUUAUGGGGUGCCCUCCAGAAACCAGCAGCCUUUCUGCCUCUACACUCGAACAGCUCCUAGCCUGAGGGGCUUUUUGCAGCAGCCAUUCAAUGGAAAAAAUCCCAAAUACAACCACACAUUCACACAUGUUCCUCUGCCACAAUAAGAACUCCACCAAGGUUUGUUCUUCAGCACAACCCUCUCUAACUGAUCUCUCACAAAGUAGCUGUAAUGGCAGCUGAAGACAUCAAAAACAGGCCUUGCCCCUGACUUUUCUGUAUAGAAUUUAUCCACACGUGGAUGGGGCUUUCUACCACAUAUGGAUGGCACAGAAAGACUUUAUCAGAAGAGUAGGAUUCCCCAGCUCUGCUUUACUGUAACAAGUUAGUCAAGCUAUAAUUUGGACUCCUCCUCUACAAACAAGUCCAUGCUAUCGAAAGCCCCCAAGUAUUGUCAAUAAAAGUCUCUGCUAAGGGAUGAAACUGCUCUGAACCUGUAUUUUUCUCCUGAGUUUCUACUUUCUCUCUGCUUCCCACCAUUCUGCUCCUGCAUCUACCACUCACAUGGAGUCUAAAAACGUCAUGAGCUGAGCAGAGGGCAUAAGCUGCCUUCAUCUAAAUGCUGGAGGCUACUGCUCCUGCAGUUCAUGUGUGUUUCACAGUCAUGAACUGCAGAGAAGACAAAAACUUCAGUAAAAUAACCUUAAAUCUUCUCAGCAUCAUCCUAUGGUAACUCUUUGUCAUGACGAUAAAAGUACAUUUAAUUACACAGACAAAUUACGCAUUAUGUCAUUCACAAUAAAAGGACAUUAAGACUGAAAUUCUUGGAAAUAGCAUGACAGCUACAAUGAAGCUCAUGCAUCAUUCCAACAUUAUUCAUUCCAAAUUGUAAGAGUUGCAGAUCAGGGUGCUUCAGUGUGUUGAAUGCAAGCUCCCUAUAAAUCCAGGCAGGAGCUUGUGAUAUCCUUCCAGUCUAUCCUCACUAGUGACAAUACAUGGGAGGGAAUGAGGAGAAAAAACUACUGUGGAAAUAUUUUUUUUUAAAAAAAAUAGUCUGUAACACCAAAAAUACUCCAUUUCAAAAUCAAAAUUUUGCUAAUGAUUAGAAACUCACCAAGAGUUAUGUUGUGCCGCUGAAUUUUCCUAGCAUACGAAAGGCAUUCCUAGGAAGAAGAGUUUCCUCAGGGCUGAGAAUAUUUUCUUUGCUCUCAUCCUCUAUAAGAAAAAAGAAAAAUUGCUUUUAAGACCAAAUGUGCAGCAUGGCAGACUGUGCUGCUUAGAAAAUCCUCAUGCCUGACCUUCCGAUGGGCAAGACCUGAAAUGUCUUUUUUUUUG